This 1329-nucleotide ribosomal RNA is filed under the name metagenome. RNAcentral's name for it is "SSU rRNA". It matches the Rfam family "Eukaryotic small subunit ribosomal RNA", at positions 603 to 1772 of the family's 1831-position model. The record is from RNAcentral.
AUUAAAGUUGCUGCGGUUAAAAAGCUCGUAGUUGGAUUACGAAGUGGUGUUUAAAUGUCAUUUUGGUUUGUUUGUCUUUCGGGGCAUUCAGGUCAACUUGGCUUUUACUCACUGUUGUCAUUGUCUUUGCCCAAGGUAUAUGCCUUGUGUGCAUGGCAUUGACCUUCUAUUUUAUGGUAAUGUUGUAUCUUUCGGGGUACAUUCAUUCCAUAUAGUUUACUUUGAAAAAAUUAGGGUGUUUAAAGCAGGCGAAAAGGCUUCGGAAUAUAUUAGCAUGGGAUAAUAGAAUACGAUCUAGGUCGUAAUUUGUUGGUUUCUACGGCUUAGGUAAUGAUUGACAGGGAUAGUUGGGGUCGCUCGUAUUGAGUUGUCAGAGGUGAAAUUCUAGGAUUAACUCAAGACGAACUAAUGCGAAAGCAUUCGGCAAGGAUGUUUUCAUUAAUCAAGAACGAAAGUUGGGGGAUCGAAGAUGAUCAGAUACCGUCGUAGUCUCAACUGUAAACUAUGUCGACCGAGGAUCCGGUAGCGUUACAUGGAUGACCUUCCGGGCACUCUGUGAGAAAUCAUAAGUAUUUGGAUUUCGGGGGGAGUAUGGUCGCAAGGCUGAAACUUAAAGGGAUUGACGGAAGGGCACCACCAGGAGUGGAAUCUGCGGCUUAAUUUGACCCAACACGGGAAAACUUACCAGGUCCGGACACAGUGAGGAUUGACAGAUUGAGAGCUCUUUCUUGAUUUUGUGGGUGGUGGUGCAUGGCCGUUUUUAGUUGGUGGAGUGAUUUGUCUGGUUAAUUCCGUUAACGAACGAGACCUUAACCUAUUAAAUAGCUGCGCGAACCCAGGUUCUUUAACCAUUCUCUCCUUCGGGGGGGCGUGGUAUCAUUAUUUUGCUUUUCACUUUCGGGUGGGAGGUAGGGUAGUGAUAGGGCCUGAGAUGAGUUGGUGAUUUGGCCUCUUAGAGGGACUACUUGCAUCCUUAGCAAGGGGAGGUUUGAGGCAAAAACAGGUCUGUGAUGCCCUUCGAUGUUCUGGGCUGCACGCGCGUUACACUGGCGCAUGCAAAGAGUUUAAAAUUCCUGUCCCGAUGGGGUUGGGAAAUCUUUUUAAAGUGCGUCGUGAUGGGGAUAGAGCAUUGUAAUUAUUGCUCUUGAACGAGGAAUUCCUAGUAAUUGCAGGUCAUCAACCUGCAAUGAUUACGUCCCUGCCCUUUGUACACACCGCCCGUCGCUCCUACCGAUGGUUGAACCGAUGAGGACUCGGGAUGAUCUUAUUAGAUCGGUCGGUCGAAAGAUCGAUAGACUAUUAGGUCAGAACUUGUUCAAAUCUUUUUAA